GAACGCUAGCUACAGGCUUAACACAUGCAAGUCGAGGGGCAGCAUGAACUUAGCUUGCUAAGUUUGAUGGCGACCGGCGCACGGGUGAGUAACGCGUAUCCAACCUGCCCCAUAGUCAGGGACAGCCCGGCGAAAGUCGGAUUAAUACCAGAUGUUCUCCUUUGAUGGCAUCAGACGAGGAGCAAAGAUUCAUCGCUAUGGGAUGGGGAUGCGUAGGAUUAGGCAGCAGGCGGGUAACGGCCCACCUGGCCGACGAUCCUUAGGGGUUCUGAGAGGAAGGUCCCCCACACUGGUACUGAGACACGGACCAGACUCCUACGGGAGGCAGCAGUGAGGAAUAUUGGUCAAUGGGCGAGAGCCUGAACCAGCCAAGUAGCGUGCAGGAUGACGGCCCUAUGGGUUGUAAACUGCUUUUAUGAGGGGAUAACGUGCGCCACGCGUGGUGUAUUGCAGGUACCUCAUGAAUAAGGACCGGCUAAUUCCGUGCC
This 488-nucleotide ribosomal RNA is filed under the name uncultured bacterium. RNAcentral describes it as "bacterial SSU rRNA". It matches the Rfam family "Bacterial small subunit ribosomal RNA", at positions 31 to 509 of the family's 1533-position model. The record is from RNAcentral.